UACGAAGGGGGCUAGCGUUGCCCGGAAUCACUGGGCGUAAAGCGCACGUAGGCGGAUUGCUAAGUCAGGGGUGAAAUCCUGGAGCUCAACUCCAGAACUGCCCUUGAUACUGGCGGUCUCGAGUCCGGGAGAGGUGAGUGGAACUGCGAGUGUAGAGGUGAAAUUCGUAGAUAUUCGCAAGAACACCAGUGGCGAAGGCGGCUCACUGGUCCGGUACUGACGCUGAGGUGCGAAAGCGUGGGGAGCAAACAGG
This 253-nucleotide ribosomal RNA is filed under the name uncultured bacterium. RNAcentral describes it as "partial 16S ribosomal RNA". It matches the Rfam family "Bacterial small subunit ribosomal RNA", at positions 524 to 776 of the family's 1533-position model. The record is from RNAcentral.